GACGAACCGUGCGAACGUUGUUCGGAAUCACUGGGCGUAAAGCGCACGUAGGCGGCUUCUUAAGUCAGGGGUGAAAUCCUGGAGCUCAACUCCAGAACUGCCUUUGAUACUGAGAGGCUUGAGUCCGGGAGAGGUGAGUGGAACUGCGAGUGUAGAGGUGAAAUUCGUAGAUAUUCGCAAGAACACCAGUGGCGAAGGCGGCUCGCUGGCCCGGUACUGACGCUGAGGUGCGAAAGCGUGGGGAGCGAACAGG
RNAcentral lists this ribosomal RNA (253 nucleotides) under uncultured bacterium. Its description in RNAcentral is "partial 16S ribosomal RNA". It matches the Rfam family "Bacterial small subunit ribosomal RNA", at positions 524 to 776 of the family's 1533-position model. The record is from RNAcentral.